UACGUAGGGUGCAAGCGUUGUUCGGAAUUACUGGGCGUAAAGGGCUCGUAGGUGGCCAACUAAGUCAGACGUGAAAUCCCUCAGCUUAACUGGGGAACUGCGUCUGAUACUGGAUGGCUUGAGUUUGGGAGAGGGAUGCGGAAUUCCAGGUGUAGCGGUGAAAUGCGUAGAUAUCUGGAGGAACACCGGUGGCGAAGGCGGCAUCCUGGACCAACACUGACACUGAUGAGCGAAAGCCAGGGGAGCAAACGGG
This 253-nucleotide ribosomal RNA is filed under the name uncultured bacterium. RNAcentral describes it as "partial 16S ribosomal RNA". It matches the Rfam family "Bacterial small subunit ribosomal RNA", at positions 524 to 776 of the family's 1533-position model. The record is from RNAcentral.